AUAACGAGUCGUUGUUUACAAUUGUCUAGCAUUGAAUAAAUUUCUUCUCAGCUUAAUAUCUGAUCUGGUCCCUUUUGGGGGCUAUCGAUAUUAAACUAAUUUUUAUAACAAAGGAAACAGUUAGGCUUGCUUUGCCAUUGUUGCAGGUUAGCCUGGUAUUGCAGGACUUCUGGGAUUCAACCCCUAUUCU
Small nuclear RNA from Octopus sinensis (East Asian common octopus), 190 nucleotides. RefSeq annotates it as U2 spliceosomal RNA. Lineage: Eukaryota; Metazoa; Mollusca; Cephalopoda; Octopoda; Octopodidae. The record is from RefSeq and is a predicted model, not a curated record. The transcript has a single exon.